UACGGAGGGGGUUAGCGUUGUUCGGAAUUACUGGGCGUAAAGCGCACGCAGGCGGUCAUGUAAGUCGGGUGUGAAAUCCCCGGGCUCAACCUGGGAACUGCAUUCGAGACUGCAUGGCUAGAGUACGGUAGAGGAGGGCGGAAUUCCAGGUGUAGCGGUGAAAUGCGUAGAUAUCGGGAGGAACAUCAGUGGCGAAGGCGGCCCUCUGGACCAGUACUGACGCUCAGGUGAGAAAGCGUGGGGAGCAAACAGG
This 253-nucleotide ribosomal RNA is filed under the name uncultured bacterium. Its description in RNAcentral is "partial 16S ribosomal RNA". It matches the Rfam family "Bacterial small subunit ribosomal RNA", at positions 524 to 776 of the family's 1533-position model. The record is from RNAcentral.